Molecule: long non-coding RNA, 674 nt
Filed under: Anas platyrhynchos platyrhynchos (common mallard)
Lineage: Eukaryota; Metazoa; Chordata; Aves; Anseriformes; Anatidae
Description: lncRNA (ENSAPLG00000020744.1)
Source: RNAcentral
GCUCAGACAACUGGCAGCUGACACAAAUGCUAAUUCUCCUUAAGACUUCAGCCUCAGGGAGUCAUCCCAAAACAAACAAACAAGAAGAUGUAAGUGUAUAUGUGCAUGUGUAUAUGUAUACAAGGUUAUUUCAAAAACAUACUUGACAUAUGUCAGUUUCAAAUCACUCAAUAUUUCUUGUAGCAUCUUGGGUAAUUGUAGAGAGAAAGUGCCCCAUUUAAUGAAAUCGUGUUCCCUUUUGAAAGCACUUGGGUAACUUGACUCCAGACAGCAUGAGGUUUUAUCUUGUUGUUAUGAAGAUAUAAAGACAUUAUUCAGAUUUAUUUUUUUUAAGAGACAGUCCAAUUAAAAAUGAGAACAUUAUUAUUUGAUAGUUACCUAAUUAGAACAAAUUGCAUUCUUCUUUCCUUCUAACAACAAGAGGAAUACCUGUCUGUUUCCCUUCUGGCUCCAUGGAAUGUGCACACACUCAGAGGAAGCAGAUCGUGUGUCUCAAAGGCCAUGUACACUCCACACAGCUGAAAGUAGUAAUCCAGCCUAGUGUAGAUGUGCUCUGGGAGCACAUGCCUCCCAUCAUCUUCAGAGAGUCUGUGGAAGCAUUCCUGGACAUGGUCAGUGGAGUGGCCCAGCAACAAUAUUAUGGUUUCAGCUCUUUAUUAGGGGACAAAAUAUAA